GAAACGACUGCUAAGACUGGAUAGGAGACAAGAAGGCAUCUUCUUGUUUUUAAAAGACCUAGCAAUAGGUAUGCUUAGGGAGGAGCUUGCGUCACAUUAGUUAGUUGGUGGGGUAAAGGCCUACCAAGACUAUGAUGUGUAGCCGGGCUGAGAGGUUGAACGGCCACAUUGGGACUGAGACACGGCCCAAACUUCUACGGGAGGCAGCAGUAGGGAAUUUUCGGCAAUGGAGGAAACUCUGACCGAGCAACGCCGCGUGAACGAUGAAGUAUUUCGGUACGUAAAGUUCUUUUAUUAGGGAAGAAUAAAUGAUGGAAAAAUCAUUCUGACGGUACCUAAUGAAUAAGCCCCGGCUAACUAUGUGCCAGCAGCCGCGGUAAUACAUAGGGGGCAAGCGUUAUCCGGAAUUAUUGGGCGUAAAGGGUGCGUAGGCGGUUAAAUAAGUUUAUGGUCUAAGUGCAAUGCUCAACAUUGUGAUGCUAUAAAAACUGUUUAGCUAGAGUAAGAUAGAGGCAAGUGGAAUUCCAUGUGUAGUGGUAAAAUGCGUAAAUAUAUGGAGGAACACCAGUAGCGAAGGCGGCUUGCUGGGUCUUUACUGACGCUGAGGCACGAAAGCGUGGGGAGCAAACAGGAUUAGAUACCCUGGUAGUCCACGCCGUAAACGAUGAGUACUAAACGUUGGGUAAAACCAGUGUUGAAGUUAACACAUUAAGUACUCCGCCUGAGUAGUACGUACGCAAGUAUGAAACUUAAAGGAAUUGACGGGACUCCGCACAAGCGGUGGAUCAUGUUGUUUAAUUCGAAGGUACCCGAAAAACCUCACCAGGUCUUGACAUGCUUCUGCAAAGCUGUAGAAACACAGUGGAGGUUAUCAGUUGCACAGGUGGUGCAUGGUUGUCGUCAGCUCGUGUCGUGAGAUGUUGGGUUAAGUCCCGCAACGAGCGCAACCCUUACUGUUAGUUACCAGCACGUAAUGGUGGGGACUUUAGCAAGACUGCCAGUGAUAAAUUGGAGGAAGGUGGGGACGACGUCAAAUCAUCAUGCCCCUUAUGACCUGGGCUACAAACGUGAUACAAUGGCUGUUGCAAAGGGUAGCUGAAGCGCAAGUUUUUGGCGAAUCUCAAAAAAACAGUCUCAGUUCGGAUUGAAGUCUGCAACUCGACUUCAUGAAGUUGGAAUCGCUAGUAAUCGCGAAUCAGCAUGUCGCGGUGAAUACGUUCUCGGGGUUUGUACACACCGCCCGUCA
This 1246-nucleotide ribosomal RNA is filed under the name Phytoplasma sp. RNAcentral describes it as "bacterial SSU rRNA". It matches the Rfam family "Bacterial small subunit ribosomal RNA", at positions 153 to 1399 of the family's 1533-position model. Lineage: Bacteria; Bacillati; Mycoplasmatota; Mollicutes; Acholeplasmatales; Acholeplasmataceae. The record is from RNAcentral.